AUUGAACGCUGGCGGCAUGCUUUACACAUGCAAGUCAAACGAAGCCUUCGGGCUUAGUGGCGCACGGGUGCGUAACGCGUGGGAAUCUGCCCUUUGGUUCGGAAUAACAGUUGGAAACGACUGCUAAUACCGGAUGAUGACGAAAGUCCAAAGAUUUAUCGCCAGAGGAUGAGCCCGCGUAGGAUUAGCUAGUUGGUGUGGUAAAGGCGCACCAAGGCGACGAUCCUUAGCUGGUCUGAGAGGAUGAUCAGCCACACUGGGACUGAGACACGGCCCAGACUCCUACGGGAGGCAGCAGUGGGGAAUAUUGGACAAUGGGCGAAAGCCUGAUCCAGCAAUGCCGCGUGAGUGAUGAAGGCCCUAGGGUUGUAAAGCUCUUUUACCCGGGAUGAUAAUGACAGUACCGGGAGAAUAAGCCCCGGCUAACUCCGUGCCAGCAGCCGCCGUAA
RNAcentral lists this ribosomal RNA (449 nucleotides) under uncultured bacterium. RNAcentral's name for it is "partial 16S ribosomal RNA". It matches the Rfam family "Bacterial small subunit ribosomal RNA", at positions 30 to 523 of the family's 1533-position model. The record is from RNAcentral.